Manacus vitellinus (golden-collared manakin) is the source of this 595-nucleotide long non-coding RNA. RefSeq lists it as uncharacterized. NCBI's taxonomy places the organism in Eukaryota, Metazoa, Chordata, Aves, Passeriformes, Pipridae. The record is from RefSeq and is a predicted model, not a curated record. The transcript has 3 exons.
CUGCUCUCACCUAGCUUGUACCUCGGAUCAGAUGACUUACAGUUGCUCAGACAGAAAGGGCUGAUGUUCCCAGCGUUCACCAGUCCAAAACGGCUCCCUCAGCCGCGCACAGGCACUGGCUCUGCUCCGGCGCUAGCACAGAACAAGUUACACCAGCACAGCCCCUCCAGAGAAACGAGGCCUCAGCCGUGGGCUGCUGCCAAACACUACUCAUACUGAGUGCAGGCCCACACCUCCGCUCGGGGGGUCUGUUCACCCCAGAGCAGCGAGUCUCAAAGCAGAGGAGGUGGAAAAUAGCACAUGCAAAGCUGUAAUGCCACAAAACUCACCCCGACCUGAGGUUUCUGAGCUCUCCAGGGAAUCCACCUUCAAUGCAUCAAACACCUCAAAGUCAGACUUCUUGACGUGGAUUAGGUUGUUAAUCGUCCCCAUCUGGCUGGUGACCACGGGCUGGAGAGAACUGAGGCUCCUACAUCACCUCCUAUUUUCAUCCUCCAUCCUGUUACACGGGUGUGUUCUCCUUCCCAUGCUGCUACCGCAUGAUCCAGUUUGGAGAACCUGCAAUUGCAUCCUGUCUAGUUCCCUGAAGAAGACA